UUGCUCUCAUUUUCCCAGGAGCAUUUAUUCCAUGCGGACUCUUGGUCCCUGAUUUUACUUUGUGUCCUGUAUAAGUGCUCCCAAUCAUGUGGCCCCUGGCCAUUCAUUCUGAGAGACUAACAGGACUCACGGCGGGCCUAUCCCGCCAGGAUUUGUUGGGGCCAUGGUUGAGGGUUUCGAGCACGAAUAUUAACAUUGGGAUUUUUCUACGAGGCCAACGGUCCUUGGGACCAAAUUGUCUUGGAGCAGAACAAAGACACCCAAAGAAAUGCACCGUACGCACCAGCCCCUACCUUUUGUCUGCCUUUCAUUGUCCACAUGGUGGGUCCACAUCCACAUGAGACCCAAGGCUUUUCAUCAGGCCAGAUGUACCCAUCACGCGCUUGGACCCCAGGACAAUCGCCAGCAGAGCACCGCUCGUGUGUACCUACUGUCCUUGACUUGGACUUGGAUGAUUUCCUCAUUUUUAGAAGGAUGGACUGGCCUCUGUUUGCAGAGCACUCAGUCCAAAUGCAUUUUUAGAAAGCAUGCCUGUUGCCUCUUGGAUUAGUUCAAUACAAUACCUGGAACCAGACCCCGGCCAUCAUCUUCUGGUGGAGCCAACCUGCAGCCAGGUGAGCUGGCUUUACACAGGACAGGUGUCUGCCAGUGACACCCCCCAAGAGAUAUUCCUCUGGAGCAGAGGGAUUAUACAGAUGGGAACUCACACUCUAUCUGGGAAGCUGCAAAAAUAUUUUGACAUCCUGAAAGCUGGUUCCUGUUAGCAGAUCUCUUCCUGUUAAAGUAAAAGAAGGGGGAAAAAAAGGAAAGUAAGAAAAGCAAGUCUGUCUUAAAACCUACCCUUGAUUUAGAAAGAGACCAUCUUCUGGAAGCAUUGUUCAUCUCCCGACCAUCAGAUAAUAUUGCUGAUUGAUCACGUCAGAUCCUUUUCUCUUAUGUUUACGAAAGGACCUCAUUGAGCCAGUGCCUUUUGGGGCCAUCUCUUGAGUUCCAUGUGUUUUGCCCCACGUGUGCAUCCAGGAAACUGCACCAUGGAUGCAGGUGAGCCGAAGGCUUUGGGUGUGAGGGAGCAGGACGACCGGGUGCCGAGGGAGCUCAGACAUCAGGACUCACCUUGACCAGGAGCAGGUGCAAGGAAUAGGUGUAUCCGCUCUGUGUUUGGUUGAAGCCACCGAGGAAAGAAGCAAAGACACAUCCAUGAUCGAGUCCCUGGAAGAAGGACUCAGGCUCAGGGGUCUGUGCUGGCCCACCAGGAGUAGAGACUGGAAUGUCACCCAGACUACAACCACUGGCCCAAGGAUUGGGGUUGCAUCUUCGGGACACUCUAGGUGCUUCUCCCAAGGGACCACCAUCUUUUGCCCUCCGUGGCACCAAUAGCAAUGGUGUGGCCUCCAGGUGAAGGUGAGACACCCAGGUGUUUAAGACAUGGCAGCACGAAGGGGAGAAGAAAAUCCAGAGACAGGAAGCUGAGGCUCAUGAGAAGCGUGAGCCCCUACGGUUUACCCAUUCUCCGAUGAGUAAAGACCGUCAUGGCAUUGAAAACCCAGUACUGUGCCUGGCAUGCAUGCCCAAGAGGCUCCGAAAACAGAAGCGAAGGAUCCAGAGAGUGGUAUCAUUUCAGCUCUGUUGGGUGAGGAGCAGAAGACGGAGUUCCCUCCUUCAAGGAAACGUCUCUGAAGAUCCAAUGACAUGUGUCCCAGAGGAAGCAUGUGGGUAAUCCUGUCCUAAUUUUUGUAAGGAAAUGUUGAGUGUCUCCAACCAAUGGAAGAAUUCAGGAGUGGAUGAGAAAUGGAGGCCCCCCAAAUAGAAGCCCAUUGUCCAAAAUCAAGGGCUUUGGACUUUUGGACUAUGUGCCUGGAGAGCUCCCUCCACCAUUUGUUACAGAACUCAAGCGGAGCGUUGACGUGGCUGACAUUGAAUUUCUCGUGUCCUGUGCCUUCCAUGUGCUCCCAGCUCGAAAGGAUGAGGUCAAAGGUUUACCUUUCUAGCUGGCAAAUGGUUUUCGCAGUUCCACCAGGAGGCUGUUGGCAGGGGGAAGGGGCCAUCACUUCUCUGCAAUGGUCCUUUGUGUACGUAUUUGAUCAGCACUAACUUUCUUGGGUUUUACCGCAAGGAGUCUUGGUCCCUUGCCUGGAACUGCAGAUUUUAACACUAACACUAUAGCUACCGUGACAAUUGAAAUGAGACCCUGUGAGCAGACAGCCUGGCAUGUGGAAGAGCAUGUCUCCUUUCCUGCCAUUGAAACGUUUUUAUUUUACUCCCCACUGAGCUUCGGAUCCACAGUCUUUCCCUCUUUGGUAAUACUGAAUUUCAAGUGACUUCUGUCUCAACCAAGGGAGACAUUCCCAGUUGGUGUGCUUGCCACUGAACUUAUUCAAGGGAACAAUUUGGAGACCUUGGAUGGAAACCCCACAUGCGCCUGACCUGCCCGCCAUUUACGGAGUUUUAUUUAUUCACUGGGGUCUUUGCUGUGCCUGAGACUAAGUGGCGAUGUUCGUCGGAAGUGGUCUGUUUUCUAAGAUGUUCACUGAGGUUGACUUGGUAACAUUUUCCGUGUGCACUCGCUUAAGAGGCUAUUGUGUGGUGUGCAUCAUAUCCCAAAUUUUCUCUUCUCCCAACUGGA
Molecule: long non-coding RNA, 2623 nt
Organism: Neofelis nebulosa (Clouded leopard)
Lineage: Eukaryota; Metazoa; Chordata; Mammalia; Carnivora; Felidae
Exons: 5
Source: RefSeq, a predicted model, not a curated record